RNAcentral lists this ribosomal RNA (570 nucleotides) under uncultured Gordonia sp. RNAcentral describes it as "bacterial SSU rRNA". It matches the Rfam family "Bacterial small subunit ribosomal RNA", at positions 338 to 918 of the family's 1533-position model. The record is from RNAcentral. Lineage: Bacteria; Bacillati; Actinomycetota; Actinomycetes; Mycobacteriales; Gordoniaceae.
CCUACGGGAGGCAGCAGUGGGGAAUAUUGCACAAUGGGCGCAAGCCUGAUGCAGCGACGCCGCGUGAGGGAUGACGGCCUUCGGGUUGUAAACCUCUUUCGCUAGGGACGAAGCGUAAGUGACGGUACCUGGAGAAGAAGCACCGGCCAACUACGUGCCAGCAGCCGCGGUAAUACGUAGGGUGCGAGCGUUGUCCGGAAUUACUGGGCGUAAAGAGCUCGUAGGCGGUUUGUCGCGUCGUCUGUGAAAUUCUGCAACUCAAUUGCAGGCGUGCAGGCGAUACGGGCAGACUUGAGUACUACAGGGGAGACUGGAAUUCCUGGUGUAGCGGUGAAAUGCGCAGAUAUCAGGAGGAACACCGGUGGCGAAGGCGGGUCUCUGGGUAGUAACUGACGCUGAGGAGCGAAAGCGUGGGGAGCGAACAGGAUUAGAUACCCUGGUAGUCCACGCCGUAAACGGUGGGUACUAGGUGUGGGGCUCAUUUCACGAGUUCCGUGCCGUAGCUAACGCAUUAAGUACCCCGCCUGGGGAGUACGGUCGCAAGGCUAAAACUCAAAGGAAUUGACGGGG